RNAcentral lists this transfer RNA (49 nucleotides) under Phacus acuminatus. RNAcentral describes it as "partial tRNA-Arg". Lineage: Eukaryota; Euglenozoa; Euglenophyceae; Euglenales; Phacaceae. The record is from RNAcentral.
GUCACAGUCGCCUAGUGGAUGGGCAACAACCUUCUAAGUUGUUUUGCGU